UCGGUCGCAUCUUCGGACGAAGUCCACAGCAUCCUUCUGGAGUGUCGGCCAAUAGUAUCCUUGGCGCAAAAUUUUAUGGGCCAAUGCUCGUCCUCCCAGAUGAUUUCCGCAAAUCCCUUCAUGGACUUCGCGCAUUGCAUAAUCAGCCUCUGUUGGGCGGAGACAUCUGAGGAGGGGAGAGGUGAAAGAUCUCCGAUAGAGCUUUCUCUCAUG
RNAcentral lists this long non-coding RNA (213 nucleotides) under Phoenix dactylifera (date palm). RNAcentral's name for it is "long non-coding RNA (PDAC_LNC013714)". Lineage: Eukaryota; Viridiplantae; Streptophyta; Magnoliopsida; Arecales; Arecaceae. The record is from RNAcentral.